AGCUCCAAUAGCGUAUAUUAAAGUUGUUGCAGUUAAAAAGCUCGUAGUUGGAUUUCUGUUUUGGGGAUGCGGUCCGCCUCACGGUGAGCACUGCAGUCUCUGGGACAUCCUCUCGAAGGCGUCUUGUGCACUUAGUUGUGUGCGGGAUGGAUUCGGGACCUUUACUUUGAAAAAAUUAGAGUGUUCAAAGCAGGCGUCGGCUUGAAUACAUUAGCAUGGAAUAAUGGAAUAGGACUUUGGUUCUAUUUUGUUGGUUUCUAGGACCGAAGUAAUGAUUAAUAGGGACAGUUGGGGGCAUUAGUAUUUAAUUGUCAGAGGUGAAAUUCUUGGAUUUAUGAAAGACUAACUACUGCGAAAGCAUUUGCCAAGGAUGUUUUCAUUAAUCAAGAACGAAAGUAGG
Molecule: ribosomal RNA, 400 nt
Filed under: phytoplankton environmental sample
Lineage: Eukaryota
Description: partial small subunit ribosomal RNA
Rfam family: Eukaryotic small subunit ribosomal RNA
Source: RNAcentral